CCCGAUGUUGCCCAGCGAGGAUCCUGUUUUCACUCUAUUUCAGCUCCAUAUUUGUUGCUUCCAAUAAGGAAAAGGGUCAGCGGAAAGGAACCAAAGGAGCAGCGUACGCCAACAUCACAGGUGUAAGGACUUGAGCAACGUAGGACCCCAGAAUGUACACGAGCAGGCAGCAUUACGG
Girardinichthys multiradiatus is the source of this 178-nucleotide long non-coding RNA. RefSeq lists it as uncharacterized. NCBI's taxonomy places the organism in Eukaryota, Metazoa, Chordata, Actinopteri, Cyprinodontiformes, Goodeidae. The record is from RefSeq and is a predicted model, not a curated record. The transcript has 3 exons.